RNAcentral lists this ribosomal RNA (496 nucleotides) under uncultured bacterium. Its description in RNAcentral is "partial 16S ribosomal RNA". It matches the Rfam family "Bacterial small subunit ribosomal RNA", at positions 28 to 507 of the family's 1533-position model. The record is from RNAcentral.
GAUGAACGCUGGCGGCGUGCCUAAUACAUGCAAGUCGAGCGAACAGACGAGGAGCUUGCUCCUCUGACGUUAGCGGCGGACGGGUGAGUAACACGUGGAUACCUACCUAUAAGACUGGGAUAACUUCGGGAAACCGGAGCUAAUACCGGAUAAUAUAUUGAACCGCAUGGUUCAAUAGUGAAAGACGGUUUUGCUGUCACUUAUAGAUGGAUCCGCGCCGCAUUAGCUAGUUGGUAAGGUAACGGCUUACCAAGGCAACGAUGCGUAGCCGACCUGAGAGGGUGAUCGGCCACACUGGAACUGAGACACGGUCCAGACUCCUACGGGAGGCAGCAGUAGGGAAUCUUCCGCAAUGGGCGAAAGCCUGACGGAGCAACGCCGCGUGAAUGAUGAAGGUCUUCGGAUCGUAAAACUCUGUUAUUAGGGAAGAACAAAUGUGUAAGUAACUAUGCACGUCUUGACGGUACCUAAUCAGAAAGCCACGGCUAACUACGUG